CGACCCCCGGGCAGGCGGGACUACCCGCUGAGUUUAAGCAUA
This 42-nucleotide ribosomal RNA is filed under the name Argyranthemum frutescens. RNAcentral's name for it is "partial 28S ribosomal RNA". Lineage: Eukaryota; Viridiplantae; Streptophyta; Magnoliopsida; Asterales; Asteraceae. The record is from RNAcentral.